GAAAGUAAAAGUCGUAACAAAGUUUCCGUAAGUGAACCUGCGGAAGGAUCAUUAUUGUAUAACCGAGGUGCGAGGGCUGUCGCUGACCCGAAAGGUCGUGCACGCCCGAGUGCCCUCACACACAUCCAUCUCACCCCUAUGUGCACCACCGCGUGGGUCCCCCUUUGGCUUGUUCGGAGGGGGGCUUACGUUUUCACACAAACUUUGUAUGCAGUGUAGAAUGUAUUUUUUGUUUUUGCGAUCACGCAAUCAAUACAACUUUCAACAACGGAUCUCUUGGCUCUC
This 285-nucleotide unclassified non-coding RNA is filed under the name plant metagenome. RNAcentral's name for it is "partial contains small subunit ribosomal RNA, internal transcribed spacer 1, and 5.8S ribosomal RNA". The stretch from base 1 to 54 matches the Rfam family "Eukaryotic small subunit ribosomal RNA", at positions 1778 to 1831 of the family's 1831-position model. The record is from RNAcentral.